ACCUGGCUGGCUCAGUCAGUAGAGCAUGUGACAGUUAAUCUCAGGGUUGUGAGUUCAAGCCCCAUGUUGGGCA
This 73-nucleotide transfer RNA is filed under the name Ailuropoda melanoleuca (giant panda). It matches the Rfam family "tRNA". Rfam says of the family: Transfer RNA (tRNA) molecules are approximately 80 nucleotides in length. Their secondary structure includes four short double-helical elements and three loops (D, anti-codon, and T loops). Lineage: Eukaryota; Metazoa; Chordata; Mammalia; Carnivora; Ursidae. The record is from Rfam by way of RNAcentral.